GACGAACGCUGGCGGCGUGCUUAACACAUGCACGUCGCGCGGAGCGGCGAACGGGUGAGUAACGCGUGAGUAACUGCCCCCCUCCCUGGGAUAACAGUUGGAAACGGCUGCUAAUACCGGUUAGUGGGGGAUGACUCGUGUCCUAUCAGCUUGUUGGUGUGGUAGUGGCCUACCACGGCGCCGACGGGUAGCCGGCCUGAGAGGGGGACCGGCGACAUGGGGCUGAGAUACGGCCCAAACUCAUACGGGAGGCAGCAGUGGGGAAUAGUGCACAAUGGGGGAAACCAUGAUGCAGCAACGCCGCGUGCGGGAGGACGGCCGUCGGGUUGUAAACCGCUUUCAGCCAUGACGCGGUAGUGGCAGAAGAAGCACCGGCUAACUACGUGCCAGCAGCCGCGGUAAUAC
This 405-nucleotide ribosomal RNA is filed under the name uncultured bacterium. RNAcentral describes it as "partial 16S ribosomal RNA". It matches the Rfam family "Bacterial small subunit ribosomal RNA", at positions 28 to 526 of the family's 1533-position model. The record is from RNAcentral.